Molecule: non-coding RNA, 577 nt
Organism: Paramuricea clavata
Lineage: Eukaryota; Metazoa; Cnidaria; Anthozoa; Malacalcyonacea; Plexauridae
Source: the annotation of a GenBank genome assembly
AUUUUCUGACCGAAAUAAUAAUUUGAAAUGUGCCUACCUCCUGCAAAUGGACGUAUUUGGCCGAGUUCUCCACUUUACUCCGCUGUUUAUCGGCGAUCUCGUCGACAUCCUACAAAAAAUGUAAAUCAUCUCAGACAUAAUGGUAUCAAGAACAUUUUAAACAAGUUUCAACUUGGUUUCAAGUAGAUCAUACCUGUUUAACCAUCGACAAGGUAAAUCCACAACUUUGUCCAAAUUCGGCGCCAUUUUGUCAUCCCAUGUCGCUUGUUAACAAUUCAGCCUUGUUGCUCUUCCAUCCAAGCCAUUUCCAUUCCACUAAUAAUAAAUUUAACCCUUUAUAACAGGAGGAAACUAAAAAUCUAAACAAAAUAUAAGAAAUACGCCAUUUUAUCACCAUGUAAAAUUUUGCUCACGAGUCUUUCAAAACAUUCCGUACAAAUAUCGCGUGACAAAGUAACAGGGACGUGACAGGAGGGUGUGAAUUAUUUCACGAAGAUAGAAGAAGGCUGCGUGAAAUAGACUAAAAGCUAAAUACAAUCAUACAAAUGUUUGUUUUAUUUCUUGUAGCGACAAAUAU